GAUGAAGAACGUAGCGAAAUGCGAUAAGUAAUGUGAAUUGCAGAAUUCAGUGAAUCAUCGAGUCUUUGAACGCACAUUGCGCCCCCUGGUAUUCCGGGGGGCAUGCCUGUCCGAGCGUCAUUGCUGCCCUCAAGCACGGCUUGUGUGUUGGGCCCCCGUCCCCGGUUUCCCCCGGGGACGGGCCCGAAAGGCAGCGGCGGCACCGCGUCCGGUCCUCGAGCGUAUGGGGCUUUGUCACCCGCUCUGUAGGCCCGGCCGGCGCCAGCCGACACCCAACUUUAUUUCUAAGGUUGACCUCGGAUCAGGUAGGGAUACCCGCUGAACUUAAGCAUAUCAAUAAGCGGAGAA
This 348-nucleotide unclassified non-coding RNA is filed under the name soil metagenome. RNAcentral describes it as "partial contains 5.8S ribosomal RNA, internal transcribed spacer 2, and large subunit ribosomal RNA". The stretch from base 1 to 120 matches the Rfam family "5.8S ribosomal RNA", at positions 35 to 154 of the family's 154-position model. The record is from RNAcentral.